UCUCACUGCAAAAAGACCCCUACACCUUGGGAGGAUUCUCCUGCUGAUGAUCGGCCUAUUUCUCCUUCUUGCUCUGCUGUGCCUUGUGGACAGCAGGGAAAAAGGACAAGGAUGCUGAACCACGACUGUUUCGGGAAAAAAGAAGGAACACUCACUCCACCGAAAUUGCCAAAGUCCAGGAACUCCUGACUAGAAAGGACAUU
This is a non-coding RNA of Chelonoidis abingdonii (Abingdon island giant tortoise), 203 nucleotides long. The record is from RefSeq and is a predicted model, not a curated record. Lineage: Eukaryota; Metazoa; Chordata; Testudines; Testudinidae.